AAAGGGAGACCUAAUUCGGGUAUAAGACGAAAAAAUAGUAGUCGAAACCAAGAAUCAAUCCCAAAAGGCCGGAACGAGGUAUGUGGCUUUCAAACUAGGUUCUGGGUUCAUAAAAGACCUGAAUCAGGAACAAGGGCUAUUAGCUCAGGUGGUUAGAGCGCACCCCUGAUAAGGGUGAGGUCCCUGGUUCGAGUCCAGGAUGGCCCACCUGCACAGGUGGCAAAAACAAAGAAAAGAAGCGAGGAAUCAGCACCUUAUCUUACUUAUAUAGUAAGAGAGAAUGCUGGCUCUGAGUACAGAGUCCAGAGGAACCUUGAAAACUGCAUAGAGCUAGGUGAAAAAGCCAAAAAAGAAGACCGCAAG
This 363-nucleotide transfer RNA is filed under the name uncultured Microcystis sp. Its description in RNAcentral is "partial 16S-23S ribosomal RNA intergenic spacer". The stretch from base 134 to 207 matches the Rfam family "tRNA". Lineage: Bacteria; Bacillati; Cyanobacteriota; Cyanophyceae; Chroococcales; Microcystaceae. The record is from RNAcentral.